GAUGAACGCUGGCGGCGUGCCUAAUACAUGCAAGUAGAACGCUGAAGGAGGAGCUUGCUCUUCUGGAUGAGUUGCGAACGGGUGAGUAACGCGUAGGUAACCUGCCUGGUAGCGGGGGAUAACUAUUGGAAACGAUAGCUAAUACCGCAUGACAACAGGUAUUGCAUGAUGACUGUUUAAAAGGGGCAACUGCUCCACUACCAGAUGGACCUGCGUUGUAUUAGCUAGUUGGUGAGGUAACGGCUCACCAAGGCGACGAUACAUAGCCGACCUGAGAGGGUGAUCGGCCCAACUGGGAACGAGAAACGGCCCAGACUCCUACGGGAGGCAGCAGUAGGGAAUCUUCGGCAAUGGACGGAAGUCUGACCGCGCAACGCCGCGGGAGUGAAGAAGGUUGUCGGAUCGUAAAGCUCUGUUGUAAGAGAAGAAAGAGUGGGAGAGUGGAAAGUUCACACUGUGACGGUAUCUGACCAGAAAGGGACGGCUAACUACGUG
This 495-nucleotide ribosomal RNA is filed under the name uncultured bacterium. Its description in RNAcentral is "partial 16S ribosomal RNA". It matches the Rfam family "Bacterial small subunit ribosomal RNA", at positions 28 to 507 of the family's 1533-position model. The record is from RNAcentral.